GCUUGUCUCAAAGAUUAAGCCAUGCAUGUCUAAGUAUAAACAACUUUAUACUGUAAAACUGCGAACGGCUCAUUAUAUCAGCAAUAAUUUAUUUGAUGGUUUCUUACCCCAUGGAUAACUGUGGUAAUUCUAGAGCUAAUACAUGCGUAAAGUCCCGACUCUUUCUGGGGAGGGAUGUAUUUAUUAGAUAAAGCCAACGCUGGGUAAAACCAGUUUCCCUUGGUGAUUCAUAAUAAUUAAGCGGAUCGCAUGGCCUUGUGCUAGCGACAGUCCACUCGAUUUUCUGCCCUAUCAUGGUUGAGAUUGUAAGAUAGAGGCUUACAAUGCCUACAACGGGUAACGGGGAAUUAGGGUUCGAUUCCGGAGAGGGAGCCUGAGAAACGGCUACCACAUCCAAGGAAGGCAGCAGG
RNAcentral lists this ribosomal RNA (410 nucleotides) under Mucor irregularis. RNAcentral's name for it is "partial small subunit ribosomal RNA". It matches the Rfam family "Eukaryotic small subunit ribosomal RNA", at positions 30 to 432 of the family's 1831-position model. The record is from RNAcentral. Lineage: Eukaryota; Fungi; Mucoromycota; Mucoromycetes; Mucorales; Mucoraceae.